RNAcentral lists this transfer-messenger RNA (377 nucleotides) under Gammaproteobacteria bacterium. It matches the Rfam family "transfer-messenger RNA". Rfam says of the family: Bacterial tmRNA, also known as 10Sa RNA or SsrA, is named for its dual tRNA and mRNA-like properties. Its role is to liberate the mRNA from a stalled ribosome. The record is from RNAcentral. RNAcentral also lists the same sequence under 1 other name. Lineage: Bacteria; Pseudomonadati; Pseudomonadota; Gammaproteobacteria.
GGGGGCGACAUGGCUUCGACGUGGGUAGCGAAACCGGAGGUGCAUGCCGAGGCGCAGCAGACCUCGCAAAUCCAGCUGCAACCAAUAUAGUUGCCAACGACGACAACUACGCACUAGCCGCUUAAACCCCGGUAGGGUGCCGUCUGACUGGAGCCGUGCUUGUGCGUCCAGCGUCCUCCGGGACAUUCAGGCGUCAAAUCUCACAAGAUCGUGCUGAAGCAUGUCCGGGGCGGAUGCACUAAAACUUUUCUGGAAUCGCCGACUUGCGCGCCACGUCGAUCGGGCAGCAACCGGUUAAAUAAAACAGAUCGACUAAGCAUGUAGAGCCGAUGGCGGAGUGCUUGCGGACGCGGGUUCGAUUCCCGCCGCCUCCACCA